GAGUUUGAUCUUGGCUCAGAUUGAACGCUGGCGGCAUGCCUUACACAUGCAAGUCGAACGGCAGCAUGAUCUAGCUUGCUAGAUUGAUGGCGAGUGGCGAACGGGUGAGUAAUACAUCGGAACGUGCCCUGUAGUGGGGGAUAACUAGUCGAAAGAUUAGCUAAUACCGCAUACGACCUGAGGGUGAAAGUGGGGGACCGCAAGGCCUCAUGCUAUAGGAGCGGCCGAUGUCUGAUUAGCUAGUUGGUGGGGUAAAGGCCCACCAAGGCGACGAUCAGUAGCUGGUCUGAGAGGACGAUCAGCCACACUGGGACUGAGACACGGCCCAGACUCCUACGGGAGGCAGCAGUGGGGAAUUUGGACAAUGGGCGAAAGCCUGAUCCAGCAAUGCCGCGUGUGUGAAGAAGGCC
This 410-nucleotide ribosomal RNA is filed under the name uncultured microorganism. Its description in RNAcentral is "bacterial SSU rRNA". It matches the Rfam family "Bacterial small subunit ribosomal RNA", at positions 9 to 416 of the family's 1533-position model. The record is from RNAcentral.